ACAGCUGCUGUUGUGCAGUGACCACUCGCACCUGAUCAUCAUCCUCCUGAUCUCCAGCUGCUGCCAUAUAGGGACGGAACUCUCCCUGCACGGCGUCAGAUUGUUGUGAAACCCUCAGCGCGAUCCCUCUCCUGUCCCUGAUCCCUGACCCUCUCUGUUGGAUAAGGACCUCCUGGCUUCGACCCCCCCGGCCUGUCUGACCGGAUACCCGUUUUGACCUGGACUCUGGACCCGCGGGCUCGGAUCCCCUGUUUGCCCGGCCCGAAGAUCAGGGGCCGCCUGAUCCUGAUUUGAUUCCCUGGUUCUGACCCUGGCCUGUCUGACUAAGAGUUUGUCGACCUCCCAAUAAAUACCUGGUUGUAAUUUUC
Xiphophorus couchianus (Monterrey platyfish) is the source of this 368-nucleotide long non-coding RNA. RefSeq lists it as uncharacterized. The record is from RefSeq and is a predicted model, not a curated record. Lineage: Eukaryota; Metazoa; Chordata; Actinopteri; Cyprinodontiformes; Poeciliidae. The transcript is spliced from 2 exons.